UGUCCAGACUCCUACGGGAGGCAGCAGUGGGGGAUAUUGCACAAUGGGGGAAACCCUGAUGCAGCGACGCCGCGUGGGUGAAGAAGCGCCUCGGCGCGUAAAGCCCUAUCGGCAGGGAAGAAGGAGGACGGUACCUGACUAAGAAGCCCCGGCUAACUACGUGCCAGCAGCCGCGGUAAUACGUAGGGGGCAAGCGGUAUCCGGAUUUACUGGGUGUAAAGGGAGCGUAGACGGCUGUGCAAGCCAGAUGUGAAAGCCCGGGGCUCAACCCCGGGACUGCAUUUGGAACUGCGUGGCUUGAGUGUCGGAGAGGCAGGCGGAAUUCCUAGUGUAGCGGUGAAAUGCGUAGAUAUUAGGAGGAACACCAGUGGCGAAGGCGGCCUGCUGGACGAUGACUGACGUUGAGGCACGAAAGUGUGGGGAGCAAACAGGAUUAGAUCCCCCGGUA
Molecule: ribosomal RNA, 448 nt
Filed under: uncultured bacterium
Lineage: Bacteria
Description: bacterial SSU rRNA
Rfam family: Bacterial small subunit ribosomal RNA
Source: RNAcentral